Molecule: ribosomal RNA, 465 nt
Filed under: uncultured bacterium
Lineage: Bacteria
Description: partial 16S ribosomal RNA
Rfam family: Bacterial small subunit ribosomal RNA
Source: RNAcentral
GACGAACGCUGGCGGCGUGCUUAACACAUGCAAGUCGAACGGAAAGGCCCUGCUUGCAGGCUACUCGAGUUGCGAACGGGCGAGUAACACGUGGGUGAUCUGCCCUCCACUUCGGCAUAAGCCUGGGAAACUGGGUCUAAUACCGAAUAGGACCCAUUUUUAGUGUGAUGGUUCGAAAGUUUUUUCGGUGUAGGAUGAGUUCGCGGCCUAUCAGCUUGUUGGUGGGGUAAUGGGCUACCAAGGCGGCGACGGGUAGCCGGACUGUGAGGGUGGACGGCGAUACUGGGUCCGAGAGGAGGCAGCGGUGGGUAAGGGAGGCAGAAGGGGGGAAGCUUGAACAAGGGGCGCAGGGCUGAUGCAGAGAGGCUGCGUGGGGGAUGACGGUCUUCGGGUUGUAAAAAAGUUUCGCUAGGAACGAAGCUUUUUGUGACGGUACCUAGAGAAGAAGCACCGGCUAACUACGUG